AACAAAGAACUUGUGGACGCCGGAAUUAUGCUAGUUUUAGUAGCAACUUAGUGAAAGUGCUGUAAUAGACCUAGACUUAAAAUGCUGAAGUGGGCGGAAAUAUAAGACUGCUUUCGGAAUUUAGCACUUGGUGCUAUCAAACUGCGCAACCUUUCUGCAACUAAUGCGCCAAUUGAAAAAACUUCUUUCCUAGUUACUCUGUUCAAAGAUGGCCCCAGAAAUCGCGUUGGCCUGCCGCUCCUGUCAAGUUUGAUGGGUAUGCGUUCAGGAUCAACACGGAAUAGACGGACUUCAGCAACAUCCCGUCCUCCUUGACAGUUAUUGGAGAAAUCUGACUCAACCAUGUACUGAUUUCUGAUCUCAAGGGGGUGUUUUAGUUCAGGAGAGGACUAAAGUUGUGCAUUCCAGCCCACAGUCUACUCUGCAUCAAGGCUGCAAAACUCUGGGAUAUGUUUGGCCCAUUCCACCAGCAGGAGGAGCUGUUGCUUCAUCGAUUCAAACACGUCUCCCACACAGGCUGUUUUCUUGGUGCUGAUAUCAUGACUCUGAGAUGCUUAACUCCCCAGGAUACGGAGGAAAAGUUAAUCUCCAGCAAUCAAAGUACACCCUGGACAGGUUGACAGCCCAUCACAGGUCUAGUACAGAGACGUACAAAAAAGAUGUGAAAGAUGUGCAUUAUCCACUGUGGACACAGGAGGAACAGACUCAUCCCACAGAGUCCGCAUGCGUAAAAGCAUGGAACAGUGUCCCCUGUUACCUCUGACAGCUCACUUCUACCUGUGCCCUUUACAAUCACAGCAAAGCAAAGGGAGGAAGCAUGCUAAAACCUCUUGUGCACAAUGUCACGUUUAUCUGUCAAGGUUGUGAUUAGCAUGAACUACGAUCUGGUAUCCACACGCAGAGUCAUGGCCGUGCAACACUCACUCCUGUCUUCCUGUCUUUUAUGCAAAGCACCUCCAAUGUUCAUGCACUAACUCUCCCUCCAUCACUCUUCUUAGUUCGUCACGCAGUCAACAAAGGAAAUCAACUGUUUGGUUCCCCUGCUCUCUGUCAGUAUUUAUUCUAAUGUUGUCUAGCGUUACAGAAGCUCAUGAAGAGUUCUGAUAAAUUAACGGUUGUAUUGUUCAGCUGCCAUAGUCGUUCUUGAUCAGUACACCAAUUAUAGAGGGCAAUUUUCUUACUCGCCCGUUUUCUUCCAUAUGUUCCCAACAAAAGAAGGUUUCUGCAGGGUGGAUCAAGUUGACACAUGGUGACAGAUUCUUUUUUAAAUCUUUUUUUUCCUAAUAAUAUUUCAGUGUUAUGAUGGCACCUACUGUAUUUUUAUAAAUGCUUCCCCCCCUUUUUUCUUCUCGGUAAAGCACAAAAUACAGCUCAUCUGAUUCAAUUGAAAAUGUCACCCAAGAAUCUUUAACCUGAAUAGAAUAGUUUUGACUCUCCUUAUGAGAUGUGACAGAUGAGGACGCAGCCUGUCUUUAUUUGUAUAGAUGUAGUCAGACAAGUAAGCCUAUGCCUAACUAGUGCAAGUCUAAAAAUCAGUAAAUAAACUAAGAUGGUUGAAGGCAGGUGAAGGGGAACCUUUGCUUUUUUCAUAAACAAUAUAUGAGGGGCUUUUUGCAAGUCAAAUCCUUAAAGAUUUACUCCUAGCUGUGCUCUCAGUGCUUUUUAAAGAGCGAAAGCGCAUGCAUCUAAAAUGGGGAGGAAGCGUAGAGGGGGCAAGUAAACAGAAGGAGGAUGCACUAAAUAAGAAUCACUGAGUAAUAUGAAAAUUGAAGGAGUUGGACAAUAUUGUGUCCCCCUUUAAAUUUUAUUUUUAGUAUGAACCAAAAUAUGUUUCUAUCUGCUGCCGUCACUCUGAGCUUGCUGAAUACUGUGACGACAAUACCGUUCCAGGCGCAGUCUCUGCAGCCCAGUCAGUCAGACAGACAGUGACCAGUAAUUAAGAGGUUUGGUUUCCCACUGCAUGUUAUUGCCUUAAUAGUCUCCAGGGUAAGAUGCUUUUUGACUGCUGGUUGUGCAGUGACCUGUACACAUCAAGCUUUUCUCUGCUUAUUGGGUUGUCUUCUUUCCACACUAAUGGCCAUAGGGGGCUGCGUCCAGGCUUCACCUGACCACCGCUCACAAAGCUGGGUCUCUGGAACCGACAGGCGGAACGGAAAUCACAUUAACCCGACUCAAACCAACAAUAAAAUCCUACAUUCUCUUGCGCUAUAUUCUAAACAAAAACAGGAGAGUGUCUCUGUUUUCCCCUUUCAUCAGCAGCAUGUGUCAGUUCGACUCAUUGUUGUUUACUGGUGCUUCACGGAGGCCGUCUGCCACCCACACCUCCUUUCCGAGGGCACUCGACAAGCACCUUGUGAGAACACAACUGGGGUUGAAGAUCUAUAACACAGAGAGGGUGAUUCAGGGGGUUGACCUCUCUCUAGCCAACACACGUUAAUUUUGUCUUAAAAGGCGUAUAAUUAAACAAGCUUGUUACCAGUUGAUUUCAAAUCUCUAAUUCAGUUUUUUUUUUUUAUUCAAACACUCUGAUGGCUGUUUCCAUGACUGGAAGAAUCUAGGCCACUGCAGUCCAGCACAUCACAUCAUGCCUGUAAGGCUUAAAGGCAAGAAAUUGAAGGUGAAUUAAAGCUAAAUUAGUUAUCACAGCAGCAAGAUUUUUUUUUUUUUAAGAUUGUGCUUGUUUUUUUUUUUUGUUUUUUUUGAGGUGAGUCUCCAUGUCUCUCAUCUUUCAUCUGUGUGCGCAGCUCUGUGUCCAGAAGGCAUAUAGACUCAUUUCUUUUCUCCCCUUUACAUUGCACCUCAUCAUAAACUCCCCCCCACACGGACAAUACUGUGGAGAAUAAAUCGACAAUAUUUCACCGCUGAUGCUCCCUGCCCACUCUCAGUCCUUUAAAGGGGGGUGUGCAGAUGCACUGGCAGUUUGUUGUUUUUAUUUAAUGUGCUGCUACUUCUAUGUCAUAUUUUCUCUCUUUAAUUGAUGCCAUGCCCGUGUUGUUGCCUAUUGCACCAUUGAGAGGAUGCUUUCUCCUAGCAGGCCCUUAUCUUUCUCUAAUAGGCCUGGCACUCCUCUGAGGCCUUCAGCUGUGUCAGGCCACUGCUGCCUCACCGCACCUCCGGUUUGAGCUGUUGCCGUGCUGCCCAUUAGUUUUCUCUCCAGACCUUUCUAUUCCCUGCGCUCAUCCCUCUGCCACCUCGACCCUACCCCACAGCUUUCCCAUCCUCAUCUUUUACCUCUGCCUGCUCUGCUAUCUCCUGUCUACCCCACAGUGUUUCAUCAAGUCUAAUAUGAGCUUUCACAAUAACUAUUUUCCCUUUUACUUUCGCUCUGGCCCACAGGGUUAGGCGCAAAAAUUAAUUGUUUUUGAAUAUUUGGUUAGCGGGUAUGCAGUCGAUUGACAGCAUUAGGAAUCAGAUGUGAUGUGUUCAGAAGUGUAAUAAAGCACUAAAAAUAUUUAAUGGCCAACAUUAGACAACAGGUUGUGGAAGUUAAAAGUUAAUUAAUGAAAUUAAUUACGUAAUCUGGGAAAAUUCGAUUUCUGAAAAUAUUUAUACAAUAAACAAUACUAGUUUAUAUUUAGGGAAUGCAGAAGACUUAAUAGAGAAACUCAUCACAUAGCAGUAAAUGUCCCUAUUCAAUUAUAUUUAUUUUGUAUUAUCAGUCUCAUUAAUCCAAAUAAUCUGAAAUCAAUGAAAGUAGUACAUUUAUUUAAAUUUAAAUUCAAAAGGAGGAACUAAGACAUCCAUCAGUUCUGAGAAGAGUACACCAGAGGUCGUGUUAAUGGGCUACAUCACUUUCAACUAGGAUUUCA
This is a long non-coding RNA of Gambusia affinis (western mosquitofish), 3809 nucleotides long. RefSeq lists it as uncharacterized. The record is from RefSeq and is a predicted model, not a curated record. The transcript has 3 exons. Lineage: Eukaryota; Metazoa; Chordata; Actinopteri; Cyprinodontiformes; Poeciliidae.